This is an RNA transcript of Drosophila teissieri, 1267 nucleotides long. RefSeq lists it as uncharacterized. The record is from RefSeq and is a predicted model, not a curated record. Lineage: Eukaryota; Metazoa; Arthropoda; Insecta; Diptera; Drosophilidae. The transcript is spliced from 5 exons.
UUGCCAACCAGUUGGACUUAUUGACGUUACUGACUGCUACUAUGGAUUCCCAAUUUCCUUGAGUUUCCCACACUUCAUGAACGGUGAUUUGGGGCUCCAACAAAACAUCACCGGCAUAAGUCCAAAUCCGGAAAAACACUCAUCAACAUUUGUUAUUCAACCAGAAUCCGGCCUGCCGCUAUCACUCUCUGUAAAAGUGCAAAUAAACAUGCACUUUAAGGACCUAACCAAUUUUCCAAUAGUAUCUGUGUUUAAUCAUCUUACAGUGCCAAUGUUGUGGUUUGAAAUCAUGAUGUCAAAACUGCCUGACAGCUUGGAUUCGCGGUUCAAUUUUUACCUGAAUAUUUUGCCGUUAGUUAAUCCCCUAGGCUUUUGGUGCGGCAUACUGUUGGGAAUAAGUCUCUUAAGCUAUGCAAUUACCAAAGCCACGAUUCAUAUGUCUAGUUUGGCCCGUCGUACUGCCAAUAUAACAGAUGUUAAAUAUGUACGAGCAAAUUUAAUUCAAAACCUCGCAGGUGAAGCCGCAAAUCAUGCUUACAGUCCUUGCGAUAUUAAGUUACUAGAUGAUCUUUCGGUUGUCAGGCAUCCUGUUAAAAAUCGAACAGUCCGGGAUUCGGCAUUUAGCACGAAAACCACGUACGCCUUGGAUAUGGAGCCUGCUUUGUUGGACACGGGCGAAAGCAGCGACGAGGGACGCGACUGCGACAUUGUAACUAUAUCCCGUAAUUCUACCAGCACCCUCUAUAGCGCAGAUAAAACAAACCGCCGAGUCGGCGACGAGUGCUUCGCCGAGAUCCAAACUCCCCAAACGAUUUUUAUAAGAGAAGAACAGCUGCAUUAAGCCAACAGUUACCAUACAUAUUCUAAGAAAUAGAGUAAAUAUAAAGUGAUUUUAAAUCACCUGGUGAGGUUGUACAAAUAUUUUUCGCGAGUGGUAACCUGGGAAUGAUAAUGUCGUAUAACUCAGGGAGUCUUAAGUUUAUCAGCUCACUUUUGGCCAUUGAGAGUUUAAGGUCACACAUGAACUAAACGAAGGAAUGAAUACCAUUUACUGGUUUUGGAUGCUUAAAUGAACUGGAACAUAAGGUUUUUGGCUAAUUAAACUAAGUUAUAGAAUACUGUCCUGGUAAAAGCUAAUUAAAUCGCUGAUUUGGUUAUAUUUAUUUUAAUACACAUGCUAAUUGCUCCUUAUUAACUGUGAUAGGUUUAAACAAUAAAUUGUAGUUCAUAAAAUGUUUAAAAGGAUUACAUUUUACCCCUGUAUAUA